CUCCGCGUGGCGCAAUUGGCAGACGCGCUCGCUUUAAAAGCUUGUUGGUUGCCGGUUCGAAGCCGGCCGCGGAGA
This 75-nucleotide transfer RNA is filed under the name Variovorax sp. WDL1. RNAcentral describes it as "tRNA-Leu". The record is from RNAcentral. Lineage: Bacteria; Pseudomonadati; Pseudomonadota; Betaproteobacteria; Burkholderiales; Comamonadaceae.